RNAcentral lists this ribosomal RNA (389 nucleotides) under uncultured Desulfocapsa sp. RNAcentral describes it as "bacterial SSU rRNA". It matches the Rfam family "Bacterial small subunit ribosomal RNA", at positions 998 to 1382 of the family's 1533-position model. The record is from RNAcentral. Lineage: Bacteria; Pseudomonadati; Thermodesulfobacteriota; Desulfobulbia; Desulfobulbales; Desulfocapsaceae.
UCCUGGAAACAGGAGAGUUGCCUCGCAAGAGGAGCUCUCACACAGGUGCUGUAUGGCUGUCGUCAGCUCGUGCCGUGAGGUGUUGGGUUAAGUCCCGCAACGAGCGCAACCCCUAUCUUUAGUUGCCAUCAUUGAGUUGGGCACUCUAAAGAGACUGCCGGUGUCAAACCGGAGGAAGGUGGGGAUGACGUCAAGUCCUCAUGGCCUUUAUGACCAGGGCUACACACGUACUACAAUGGCCGGUACAAAGGGCAGCGACACAGCGAUGUGAAGCCAAUCCCGAAAAGCCGGUCUCAGUCCGGAUUGGAGUCUGCAACUCGACUCCAUGAAGUUGGAAUCGCUAGUAAUCGCGGAUCAGCACGCCGCGGUGAAUACGUUCCCGGGCCGUU